CGUGGGGAACCUGCCCCAUAGUCUGGGAUACCACUUGGAAACAGGUGCUAAUACCGGAUAAGAAAGCGGAUCGCAUGAUCAGCUUUUAAAAGGCGGCGUAAGCUGUCGCUAUGGGAUGGCCCCGCGGUGCAUUAGCUAGUUGGUAAGGUAAAGGCUUACCAAGGCGAUGAUGCAUAGCCGAGUUGAGAGACUGAUCGGCCACAUUGGGACUGAGACACGGCCCAAACUCCUACGGGAGGCAGCAGAU
Molecule: ribosomal RNA, 247 nt
Filed under: uncultured Lactobacillus sp.
Lineage: Bacteria; Bacillati; Bacillota; Bacilli; Lactobacillales; Lactobacillaceae
Description: partial 16S ribosomal RNA
Rfam family: Bacterial small subunit ribosomal RNA
Source: RNAcentral